UACGUAGGGUGCGAGCGUUGUCCGGAAUUAUUGGGCGUAAAGAGCUCGUAGGCGGUUUGUCGCGUCUGCUGUGAAAACUCGGGGCUUAACUCCGGGCCUGCAGUGGGUACGGGCAGACUAGAGUUCGGUAGGGGAGACUGGAAUUCCUGGUGUAGCGGUGAAAUGCGCAGAUAUCGGGAGGAACACCAGUAGCGAAGGCGGCACUCUGGGCCGGUACUGACGCUGAGGAGCGAAAGCGUGGGGAGCAAACAGG
Molecule: ribosomal RNA, 253 nt
Filed under: uncultured bacterium
Lineage: Bacteria
Description: partial 16S ribosomal RNA
Rfam family: Bacterial small subunit ribosomal RNA
Source: RNAcentral